Molecule: transfer-messenger RNA, 397 nt
Filed under: Flavobacterium noncentrifugens
Lineage: Bacteria; Pseudomonadati; Bacteroidota; Flavobacteriia; Flavobacteriales; Flavobacteriaceae
Rfam family: transfer-messenger RNA
About the family: Bacterial tmRNA, also known as 10Sa RNA or SsrA, is named for its dual tRNA and mRNA-like properties. Its role is to liberate the mRNA from a stalled ribosome.
Source: RNAcentral
GGGGUCGACUGGUUUUGACAGCAAGUCGAAUUGAACAGUAAGCACGCCGAGAACUGGGGCAGUUCUCGUAAAUCAAAAGUCCCAACACUUUUAAACGGCGAAAAUAACUACGCUUUAGCUGCAUAAUCCGAAUUACAGUAAGAUAAUGCCACGUUCCUGUUAGACAGGAAAGCUGGAUUCUCCUUGAAAGCCUUGGUUUGUGGCGUUCAGAAAAGGGGAACCGUAAAAAUAAACCUAGGUUUGGUCCUGCUUCGAAGCCAUUCUGACAACUAAGAAGCUAAGUGUUGUGUGGCUGUUCCCGGCCUUGCGCAACAACGAAAAACCAAUCGGGAAAUAAGCGUGUAGAAAGCUCUUUAAUUGCUUGUUUGGACCCGGGUUCGAUUCCCGGCGACUCCAC